AUAUAAAGUGGCGCACGGGUGAGUAACACGUAGGUAAUUUGCCUUUGGGUGGGGAAUAACUUGUGGAAACGCAAGCUAAUACCGCAUAAUGCAGCGGCAUCGAAAGAUGACAGUUGUUAAAGAUUUAUCGCCUGAAGAGAAGCCUGCGGCAGAUUAGGUAGUUGGUAAGGUAAUGGCUUACCAAGCCUGCGAUCUGUAUCCGGUCUAAGAGGACGGUCGGACACACUGACACUGAAUAACGGGUCAGACUCCUACGGGAGGCAGCAGUCGGGAAUUUUGGGCAAUGGGCGCAAGCCUGACCCAGCAACGCCGCGUGAAGGAUGAAGUAUUUCGGUAUGUAAACUUCGGAAGAAUGGGAAGAAUAAAUGACGGUACUAUUUGUAAGGUCCGGCUAACUACGUGCCAGCAGCCGCGGUAAUACGUAGGGACCAAGCGUUGUUCGGAUUUACUGGGCGUAAAGGGCGCGUAGGCGGCAAUUCAAGUCAUCUGUGAAAUCUCCGAGCUUAACUCGGAACGGUCAGAUGAUACUGCUUUGCUAGAGUGCAGAAGGGGCAACUGGAAUUCUCGGUGUAGCGGUGAAAUGCGUAAAUAUCGAGAGGAACACCUGCGGCGAAGGCGGGUUGCUGGGCUGACACUGACGCUGAG
Molecule: ribosomal RNA, 645 nt
Filed under: uncultured bacterium
Lineage: Bacteria
Description: bacterial SSU rRNA
Rfam family: Bacterial small subunit ribosomal RNA
Source: RNAcentral